RNAcentral lists this ribosomal RNA (315 nucleotides) under uncultured Bacteroidales bacterium. Its description in RNAcentral is "bacterial SSU rRNA". It matches the Rfam family "Bacterial small subunit ribosomal RNA", at positions 28 to 339 of the family's 1533-position model. The record is from RNAcentral. Lineage: Bacteria; Pseudomonadati; Bacteroidota; Bacteroidia; Bacteroidales.
GAUGAACGCUAGCGGCAGGCUUAACACAUGCAAGUCGAGGGGCAGCGCGAGGUAGCAAUACUUUGGCGGCGACCGGCGAAAGGGUGAGUAACGCGUGAGCAACAUGCCCGUUGCAGGGGGAUAGUCGAUGGAAACGUCGUGUAAUACCCCGUAAUAUAACGAAUCGCAUGUUUUGUUAUUGAAAGAUUUAUCGGCAACGGAUUGGCUCGCGUACCAUUAGCUAGUUGGUGGGGUAACGGCCCACCAAGGCGACGAUGGUUAGGGGUUCUGAGAGGAAGGUCCCCCACAUUGGAACUGAGACACGGUCCAAACUCC